AGCGAACGCUGGCGGCAGGCUUAACACAUGCAAGUCGAGCGGGCAUAGCAAUAUGUCAGCGGCAGACGGGUGAGUAACGCGUGGGAACGUACCUUUUGGUUCGGAACAACACAGGGAAACUUGUGCUAAUACCGGAUAAGCCCUUACGGGGAAAGAUUUAUCGCCGAAAGAUCGGCCCGCGUCUGAUUAGCUAGUUGGUGAGGUAAUGGCUCACCAAGGCGACGAUCAGUAGCUGGUCUGAGAGGAUGAUCAGCCACAUUGGGACUGAGACACGGCCCAAACUCCUACGGGAGGCAGCAGUGGGGAAUAUUGGACGAUGGGCGCAAGCCUGAUCCAGCCAUGCCGCGUGAGUGAUGAAGGCCCUAGGGUUGUAAAGCUCUUUUGUGCGGGAAGAUAAUGACGGUACCGAAAGAAUAAGCCCCGGCUAACUUCGUG
This 435-nucleotide ribosomal RNA is filed under the name uncultured bacterium. RNAcentral's name for it is "partial 16S ribosomal RNA". It matches the Rfam family "Bacterial small subunit ribosomal RNA", at positions 29 to 507 of the family's 1533-position model. The record is from RNAcentral.